GCUGGGCGCGGUGGUGCACGCCUGUAACCCCAGUGGCUUGGAAGGCUGAGACAGGAAGAUCACGAGUUCAAAGCCAGCCUCAGCAACUUAUUGAGGCACUAAGCCCCCAGUGAGACCCUGUCUCUA
Molecule: small RNA, 126 nt
Filed under: Marmota monax (woodchuck)
Lineage: Eukaryota; Metazoa; Chordata; Mammalia; Rodentia; Sciuridae
Source: RNAcentral